Molecule: ribosomal RNA, 246 nt
Filed under: uncultured bacterium
Lineage: Bacteria
Description: partial 16S ribosomal RNA
Rfam family: Bacterial small subunit ribosomal RNA
Source: RNAcentral
UGGGUAACCUGCCUCAAAGAGGGGAAUAGCCUCCCGAAAGGGAGAUUAAUACCGCAUAAUAUGUUUUAGUCGCAUGACUUAAACAUCAAAGGAUUUUCUUUAGAAAUUCCACUUUGAGAUGGACCCCGCGGCGCAUUAGCUAGUUGGUGAGGUAAUGGCUCACCAAGGCGACGACGGGUAGCCGGCCUGAGAGGGUGACCGGCCACACUGGGACUGAGACACGGCCCAGACUCCUACGGGAGGNAG